This 250-nucleotide ribosomal RNA is filed under the name uncultured bacterium. Its description in RNAcentral is "partial 16S ribosomal RNA". It matches the Rfam family "Bacterial small subunit ribosomal RNA", at positions 524 to 773 of the family's 1533-position model. The record is from RNAcentral.
UACGUAGGUGGCAAGCGUUAUCCGGAUUUAUUGGGCGUAAAGAGAACGUAGGCGGUUUCUUAAGUCUGAUGUGAAAGCCCCCGGCUUAACCGGGGAAGUGCAUCGGAAACUGGGAAACUUGAGUGCAGAAGAGGACAGUGGAACUCCAUGUGUAGCGGUGAAAUGCGUAGAUAUAUGGAAGAACACCAGUGGCGAAGGCGGCUGUCUGGUCUGUAACUGACGUUGAGGUUCGAAAGCAUGGGUAGCGAAC